Molecule: long non-coding RNA, 689 nt
Organism: Biomphalaria glabrata
Lineage: Eukaryota; Metazoa; Mollusca; Gastropoda; Planorbidae
Exons: 4
Source: RefSeq, a predicted model, not a curated record
AAUGUAUUCAAGUGUGCUUGUGUAUGUUUUUAUAUGUGUGCAUUAUAAGAGUUAUGUAUACUUGUGUGCGCAUAUCAACAUAAAGAUAAAUACGUAAUGUUGAUAAAAUGGAUGUAUAUAUGUGCUCGCACCGUGUGACGUUAUCAGGUCAUCAGACCACGCCCAGAUGAGCAUUAGAGAACGCCCACUGAUUUCAAGAUCACGCCCAAAGAUCAAAAGAUCACGCCCUAAGAAAGAAAAGGUCAGGGCAACAGAUUCACAUCUGAAGAGAUGAUCAGCCGUCACAAGAAAUUUGUUUGAACCAAGUUCAGUUGAAGAUUGACUCGAUAUUGAAGCUUCAAUUUGUAACAACAAAAUAAUGCGUGGGCUGGUCUACGAUCUGUUCCAAAUAAAAUUAUAUCCUAGUCCAGACCUACAAGACGGCGGAGAAAGACUACGGACAAGUUUCCAACUCGGGACAAUCGAGGUCAUCAAACGACAGUCCAGUCCGCAUUCGGCACGACAAGUGAAUGUAUUACAUAUAUGUUUGUUUGUAAAAUGUUUUAUAUGUUUCGGAUGUUCCUUCAGAGUUGAAGAUAAUUACUUCCUAGUCCAAACCUCCCGCAGGACGACGGGGAAUGGGAGCGGGCAGGGUUUGAACCCUGGACCACCGAUAAAUCUGAACGACAGUCCAGCGCACAAACAGCACG